This 460-nucleotide ribosomal RNA is filed under the name uncultured bacterium. RNAcentral's name for it is "partial 16S ribosomal RNA". It matches the Rfam family "Bacterial small subunit ribosomal RNA", at positions 338 to 795 of the family's 1533-position model. The record is from RNAcentral.
CCUACGGGAGGCAGCAGUGAGGAAUAUUGGUCAAUGGACGAGAGUCUGAACCAGCCAAGUAGCGUGAAGGAUGACUGCCCUAUGGGUUGUAAACUUCUUUUAUAUGGGAAUAAAAUGUUCCACGUGUGGGAUUUUGUAUGUACCAUAUGAAUAAGGAUCGGCUAACUCCGUGCCAGCAGCCGCGGUAAUACGGAGGAUCCGAGCGUUAUCCGGAUUUAUUGGGUUUAAAGGGAGCGUAGGUGGAUUGUUAAGUCAGUUGCGAAAGUUUGCGGCUCAACCGUAAAAUUGCAGUUGAAACUGGCAGUCUUGAGUACAGUAGAGGUGGGCGGAAUUCGUGGUGUAGCGGUGAAAUGCUUAGAUAUCACGAAGAACUCCGAUUGCGAAGGCAGCUCACUGGACUGCAACUGACACUGAGGCUCGAAAGUGUGGGUAUCAAACAGGAUUAGAUACCCCUGUAGUC